RNAcentral lists this non-coding RNA (80 nucleotides) under human gut metagenome. RNAcentral describes it as "ZMP/ZTP riboswitch". It matches the Rfam family "ZMP/ZTP riboswitch aptamer (pfl RNA motif)". Rfam says of the family: Previously known as pfl RNA. ZMP is also known as AICAR. The record is from RNAcentral.
AGGUGUGACUGACGGAUAAGUGGGUGAACCACAGGGGAGCACUGAUGAAAGACCUUUUUGCCGACCGUCUGGGCAAUCCU